RNAcentral lists this transfer RNA (76 nucleotides) under Thermofilum sp. RNAcentral's name for it is "tRNA-Thr". It matches the Rfam family "tRNA". Rfam says of the family: Transfer RNA (tRNA) molecules are approximately 80 nucleotides in length. Their secondary structure includes four short double-helical elements and three loops (D, anti-codon, and T loops). RNAcentral also lists the same sequence under 1 other name. The record is from RNAcentral. Lineage: Archaea; Thermoproteati; Thermoproteota; Thermoprotei; Thermofilales; Thermofilaceae.
GCCCCGGUAGCUCAGUUGGUAGAGCGGCGGCCUCGUAAGCCGCAGGUCCCGGGUUCGAGUCCCGGCCGGGGCUCCA